GUAGUCCACGCCCUAAACGAUGUCAACUGGGUGUUGGGGGAGCGAUCUCCUGGUACCGUAGCUAACGCGUGAAGUUGACCGCCUGGGGAGUACGGCCGCAAGGUUAAAACUCAAAGGAAUUGACGGGGACCCGCACAAGCGGUGGAUGAUGUGGAUUAAUUCGAUGCAACGCGAACAACCUUACCUACCCUUGACAUGUGCCGGAGCCCGCUGAGAGGUGGGUGUGCCCGAAAGGGAACGGCAACACAGGUGCUGCAUGGCUGUCGUCAGCUCGUGUCGUGAGAUGUUGGGUUAAGUCCCGCAACGAGCGCAACCCUUGUCCCUAGUUGCUACGCAAGGGCACUCUAGGGAGACUGCCGGUGACAAACCGGA
RNAcentral lists this ribosomal RNA (372 nucleotides) under uncultured bacterium. RNAcentral describes it as "bacterial SSU rRNA". It matches the Rfam family "Bacterial small subunit ribosomal RNA", at positions 790 to 1167 of the family's 1533-position model. The record is from RNAcentral.